GUGUACCCGCUUCAGCAGCACACAUACUAAAACUGGAAGAUGCAGAGAAUAUUAGCAUGGUUCCCUGGGCAAGGAUGACACACAAAUUCAUGAAGCAUUCCAUAUUUUA
Small nuclear RNA from Catagonus wagneri (Chacoan peccary), 109 nucleotides. Lineage: Eukaryota; Metazoa; Chordata; Mammalia; Artiodactyla; Tayassuidae. The record is from Ensembl.